GACUUCAGAUAAUACACAGGCAUGCUAAAUAACCACGAGAAAUUAUAUUUCCAAGUUGCAUUAAUUGUUGUUUGAAAGAUCUAUGACUUAUGAGAGCUAUAGAAGGAUCUGUUAGAUGCCACUCUUUUCCUUGCAGCUUUGUGAACCAAGGAAUCCAUAUACUCCCUCCGUCUCAAUUUAUGUGAUAUAGUUUAACUAGUCACAGAGUUUAAGAAAUAAAGAAAGACUUUUGAAUCUUGUGGUCUAAAAUUAGCCAAAGAUAUUUGUGUGAUUAUAUAUCAUCUCGUUAAACGUAAAAGGUAAAGUUUAAAGUUAAAUUGUUGUCAAAUAAGAAAAAUGUAUCAUUCUUUUUGGGAUAGACUAAAAAGUAAAGUGUAUCACAUAAAUUGGGACAGAGGGAAUAACAAUUUAAUUCUCGAAGGAAAUGUAAUAUGUGGAAAUAAAUACGGUAGGGAGGUGCGGGGGCAGAGGGAUGGUGAAGAGGUUGGUUAUUGGGUGCAGUCUUGGGCUAUUGAGAGAGUUGCCUUUAGAUGAAUUUGUGCUUCUACUUGACUGCUUACAGAUUUCAAUUCCUUGUUCGUUCUAUUCAAUUUUUUUACUUCACCAGAAUUCAGAGCUUAAUGACUAUAAAAUAGACAUAUUCUCUAUGAGUUUGAUAGUUUAAAAGCUUCAAAGCAACUAUAAAUAGGUUCUAAAUCCCCUGUUUCGGAGCCAGUUUGCUGCUUUAGUUUAUGGAUUUAUUUUACAAGAAAACUGACUACGGAAAAGAUUUCUGCCGACCUGAUAUGUUCCCAUCUUAAUGUGUGGCAACUUAUACGGUGUUUCUAAAGUACAAGUCAGAUGUAUGAGAAUCAUGUGGUUUGCUAAUUCAUAAAGAUAAGUGGGGAACUUUGUUUUUCCAGUGGCUGAAAUUCAUUUAACCUUAUGGUCUCACUUGAGAUUCAUGCCUUCUAUGUUUUUGUUUCUUCUGCUUUUGACAUUUAUUCAUUCUUUCUCCUUUUCGUAGCUAUGGCUGAAGUUUCUCCCUGUGCUGUGUGUAUAUCCACCGUUAGUAAUUCUACUGGUGUAGGUUGCUUAUCCGAGGCACAUAAUUUGUUUGUUUAAGACCUAGCCACUUAAAAAUUUGUGGGUCGUGCAAUGUUUUUAUGAUGAGGCUCUUUGAUUGAGAUGUACUACCCAUGCAAAAUUAAGAUGUACCUUAACAUUUCAGAGAGUCUUGAUUGUUUGUAUUGUGGAAAAAUCUUAAUAAGGUAGUUACUGAAGUAUUUAACAUCUAAGGUUUUCUUUUCCUCCCAAGAAACAGAUUAAUAUUGUGGCAGUCUUGGGAUAUUGAGAAAGUUGCCUUCAGACUAGAAUUUAUGCUUCUACUUAAUUGCUUGCAGAUUUCAAUUCCCUGUGCGUUCUUUUCAUUAUUUUUACUUCACCAGAAUAUUGAGCUUAAUGACUAUAAAUAGACGUAUUAUCUAUGAGUUUAUAGUUUUAAAAGCUUUUUAGCAACUUAAUAGGUUCUGUAUCACCUCUUUCGGAACAAGCUUGUUGCUUUAGUUGCUGGAUUUAUUGUACAAGAAAACUGACUACUAAAAAGAUAUCUGCUGACCUGAUUUGUUUUCAUGUUAAAUGUGUGACAACUUAUGCAUUGUUUCUAAAUUACAAUAGUCAGAUGCAUGAGGAUCAUGUGGUUAGCUAAUCUAUCCAUAUAUAUAUAUAUAUAUAUAUAUAUAUAUAUAUAUAUAUAUAUGUGUGUGGACAAAGGCAUGCUGAUGUGGCAUCACAGAAACGCAAGGCUAGUAUUUAUCUUUUAUAGAUUUUUGAGGGAAAAAAACAAAUAAACACGCUUAAAAACUAAAUUACGGCAAACACACAUGCCGCUUCGCCCUUUGCACCCCCAACAACUGCGGCCAGAAAAAAAAAAAAAAAAAACCCUUCUAUAGAUCCCAGUUAUGCUUCUUCUCCAUUCUCACCCACUAUGUAGCACUUCUGCCUGUGUUCUUUUUAACUUACAGGGUAACCGGUUUUAUCCGUCCACAGAUUCUCUUUACAAAAUUGAAUUCAGACCAUUUAGGAGUAAGGGUCGAAAUGAGGUUCCUCAUCUCUUGCCAAUUAAAUUAUGAUUGUAUUCAUGUUUGUAAUUCCACUGUCAUGCGAUUUCAACUUUAGGUACAUUGUGCAGAUUUACAAUUGCUAUUUCAAUUAAUAAAGUUCAUCGCCGUCUAUGAACUAACUUCGUUCAGACUUGUAAUCUCCCCCGUGAUAGGUCUGUACUUUAGAGUUUAUUAGGCAUUUUUUUCCCUCUUAUGUAGUUCGAAAGUAAAUAGCCUGUUAUACAGAUCUCCAUUUCCUACUCGUAAUAUUUGCUCUUGCUGUUUUCCGACUACAUCUAUGACUCUAAUAUAUAUAAAUAGUGAACUUUUGGUAUGCUCCGAAUUUUGGCAACUAUUCGGACUGAAGUCUGAACUUCUCACUUUCCACCUCUGACCAUUUUUUUUCCUCUUUUGCACCUACACCCAUGCAGAAGAAGCAAAUCUGUAGCUGUACACUCCAGUCCCAUUGUCAUCAUCUGCUCUGCGAUAAAUUUGAGUAUAGGUUUUCCCCAACAAUUCUAUAUGUGUUCUUUUAAAUAAUAUUUUUGUGGUGGAAAAGAUGUGCCGUUUCUUGAUUAAUUGUGUUAAACAAUCAGCCAAUUUCCCUAUGACUCCAAAGAAGACGAAUUAGAAUUUCAAAAAACACAAAGAAGAAGCAAAUCCGUAGGAGCACACUCCACGGCCAUAGUCCUUUAUUUACUUCGUUACCGGGUGAGUACUCUGUCUCUUACUUACAUUGAAAAGUUGGAAUUUAUUCCCAACACAUGAAUAAUUUCUUUCAAUUAAUUAUACUUUCUUUUCUUAAUCAAUAUGUGUAAGUUUUCCCAAUAUAUUUUGGACUCCAGCUGUGCGAGUUGCGGAUGUAAAAUACUUGAAAGCCAUUUAUGCAUGACAACUCAGAUUACAAUGUGUUACAUGCAACACAUUUAUAAUAACUGCAGUUAUAGCUGUAGACAAAUCAAAUUGAUUGGACUUAAUCCACUAGAAAUUUAUUGUAAUACGGGAUGGAGGAGAGUCUUCUAAUAUCCUUUAACCUUUCCGUUUUCAGUUUCAAUUCAUGGAGUUUCCAGUUAUGUGACAGAGAAGAAGCGCACGACCAGUCUGUAUCUCAGUAUUUAAGUGAUGUUUACUUACAAUUUCUCUCUGCAUUAACUGUUUUAGUCUCCAUAUAUAUCAAACACCCGUUAACUUGAAAUUUAUUCGGCAGUUCAGGGUAUUUGGUGUUGCCGAAAACUGAAAUUAUAAGGAUAAGAGUCACUCCAAGUCAAUUAUUAUGUCAUCACUUGCCUUCAAUGUCAUUCUUUGCUUAUAUGCUUUACUUGUGGCAUAAAUAGUUUGGAUUGGACUUUUUCCAUUAUCUCAAUUUACCAUGAAUGCUAGCAUUGCAGGAAUAAAGUUCACCUAGAUAAGGUAUGACCACCCGAGAUUUUCAUUCCAGAUGGUCAAGCUAAUUAGUGCAAGGAUAGUUCAUUGUCAGUUCUAUGUAGACAUACAAAUCUCAGCAACUGGUUCAAUUUUUCUCAAGAUAAGCAAAAGGCUGCAAGGUAUUGGUAAUUGCCUUUUUGGCGAGUAUAGACUGGUUAGUCUUGUGUUGAUGGGAGAAUUUAGUAAGGUUGGAGUUGGGAUGUGUCACCUUUCACAGAAAGAUAUACAAGACAAGGAGCAGGAUGAGCUAAUUGCUCCGGAACAAUAAUUCCAUUCUGCAAGGGAAGGGAUUAUAACCAGGCUGUACAUCAGGAUAACUGGUUGGAUUUGUUUACAGUUAAGUGAAUUCUUCCGCUGUUGUAAGUGGAAUAACCGAAACCGAAAUAGUGUCGAAUAAGUUGUGAAGUAGGUGCUAUAACAUAUUGAUGUUUUGUUUGUAGCGUAGAUGGUAAUUGUUUGGGCCAGUAAGUGGUCUUGGUAUGAGGAAGCAUUUGAUAUGAUGCGUAAUUUUGUAGUUUGAGAAUUAUUUCAGAUAUUACUACCUAUUAUUUCAAUUAUACAUACAGCUGCCCUCUACUAAAGAGUUCAA
This is a long non-coding RNA of Lycium barbarum (goji berry), 4095 nucleotides long. RefSeq lists it as uncharacterized. Lineage: Eukaryota; Viridiplantae; Streptophyta; Magnoliopsida; Solanales; Solanaceae. The record is from RefSeq and is a predicted model, not a curated record. The transcript has 4 exons.